GAUGAACGCUAGCGGCAGGCUUAAUACAUGCAAGUCAAGGGGGUAGCAAUACAACCGGCGCACGGGUGAGUAACGCGUACACAACAUACCAUAUACUGGGGUAUAGCUUCGGGAAACUGAAGGUAAUCCCCCAUAAUAUUGCGGGAAGGCAUCUUUCGUGCAAUUUAAAGUUUUCGACGGUAUAUGAUUGGUGUGCGUUUGAUUAGCUAGUUGGUAGGGUAACCGGCCUACCAAGGCGACGAUCAAUAGGCCUGGCGUGAGAGCGCGACCAGCCACACUGGAACUGAGACACGGUCCAGACUCCUACGGGAGGCAGCAGUAGGGAAUAUUGGACAAUGGGCGAAAGCCUGAUCCAGCCAUUGCCGCGUGAUAGAUGAAGGCCCUCCUGGGUUGGUAAAUAUC
This 402-nucleotide ribosomal RNA is filed under the name uncultured bacterium. RNAcentral's name for it is "bacterial SSU rRNA". It matches the Rfam family "Bacterial small subunit ribosomal RNA", at positions 28 to 433 of the family's 1533-position model. The record is from RNAcentral.